Molecule: transfer RNA, 71 nt
Filed under: Marmota monax (woodchuck)
Lineage: Eukaryota; Metazoa; Chordata; Mammalia; Rodentia; Sciuridae
Description: tRNA.Ala
Rfam family: tRNA
About the family: Transfer RNA (tRNA) molecules are approximately 80 nucleotides in length. Their secondary structure includes four short double-helical elements and three loops (D, anti-codon, and T loops). Further hydrogen bonds mediate the characteristic L-shaped molecular structure. tRNAs have two regions of fundamental functional importance: the anti-codon, which is responsible for specific mRNA codon recognition, and the 3' end, to which the tRNAs corresponding amino acid is attached (by aminoacyl-tRNA synthetases). tRNAs cope with the degeneracy of the genetic code in two manners: having more than one tRNA (with a specific anti-codon) for a particular amino acid; and 'wobble' base-pairing, i.e. permitting non-standard base-pairing at the 3rd anti-codon position.
Source: RNAcentral
GGGGUUGUGGCUCAGUGGUGGAGUGCUUGCCUAGCAUGCAUGAGGCACUGGGUUCGAUCCCCAGCACCACA